This 219-nucleotide unclassified non-coding RNA is filed under the name uncultured Actinomycetes bacterium. RNAcentral describes it as "uncultured actinobacterium contains 16S-23S intergenic spacer region". The record is from RNAcentral. Lineage: Bacteria; Bacillati; Actinomycetota; Actinomycetes.
UCCGGUUUGGCACCGGCAGUCUCCCUAGAGUUCCCGGCAUGACCCGCUGGCAACUAAGGACAGGGGUUGCGCUCGUUGCGCCACUUAAGGCAACACCUCACGGCACGAGCUGACGACAGCCAUGCACCACCUGUGCAGGCUCCGAAGAGCGCCCGCUUUCACGGGUUUCACCCUGCAUGUCAAGCCCAGGUAAGGUGGGGAUGACGUGUCCUUGAUAGG